Molecule: long non-coding RNA, 117 nt
Filed under: Sarcophilus harrisii (Tasmanian devil)
Lineage: Eukaryota; Metazoa; Chordata; Mammalia; Dasyuromorphia; Dasyuridae
Description: lncRNA (ENSSHAG00000029038.1)
Source: RNAcentral
GACGAGCUAAUGGAACCGCAUUAAGCUUUGCAGUGGACUGAGCUGGGGAGUAGGGGCCACAGAAGUCCUGAAUAGAUAUCAGCUCAUCUUGUUCAGGUGAGCCUGAGACUGAUCUUG